AAAUUGAAGAGUUUGAUCAUGGCUCAGAUUGAACGCUGGCGGCAGGCCUAACACAUGCAAGUCGAACGGUAACAGGAAGCAGCUUGCUGCUUCGCUGACGAGUGGCGGACGGGUGAGUAAUGUCUGGGAAAACUGCCUGAUGGAGGGGGAUAACUACUGGAAACGGUGGCUAAUACCGCAUAACGUCGCAAGACCAAAGAGGGGGACCUUCGGGCCUCUUGCCAUCAGAUGUGCCCAGAUGGGAUUAGCU
Molecule: ribosomal RNA, 250 nt
Filed under: Salmonella enterica
Lineage: Bacteria; Pseudomonadati; Pseudomonadota; Gammaproteobacteria; Enterobacterales; Enterobacteriaceae
Also listed under: 1 other name
Description: partial 16S ribosomal RNA
Rfam family: Bacterial small subunit ribosomal RNA
Source: RNAcentral